GCAAGCCAGCCAGAUUCGCAGCAUAAUAUAUUUAACUGCUACUGCUGGGGGACGGUUUGAGACCGAGUUUUUUCGUUUCCUUCUGUAUCACAUGCACUGUACGGUUACUCGUUUUGAUCGGGUGUUUUAUCGUCCUCCUUACUGCCCAGUUUCCAGGGCCGCCACCACAACUCAACAAGCCGCCCAAUUGAUAGAUCAAGGAGAAGUUCAAGUCUCAUGGUAACACCAGGAACUAACUGGUGGCCCUCUUCCAGCAGUUCCAAGCCUGAACGGGGCUGAAAGAGGCUGAAGGCUGAAUGAAAGCACAACAACGCCAUCCAUUUAUUGCGCUCCGGCUGGACGACCAGGCAGCCAGUGCCUGGUAUUGCAUCUUUUGCCGGUUCCAGGGAGUAGCAAGCUGCUUCAGCCGUCGGCCAUCACGGGCAAAUUUCUAGUCAACUUGACGUUGUGCAACGGAGCAUGCAUGUGAGUGAAAUAUGGAGUCUCUGAGAUUGAGGCUGCCUGCCUCUCUUCUCACGUUUUUUCGAGCUGCUAAGAGUGGUGAGUAUCUUGGUUCGGGCUAGAUUAAGCAGUUAGUCUCUGCAGCGCUCAAGGAACGUCUUCUCAAGGACUUCGGCGAGUACGAAACAGCCGUCGAGUUCCGUAUUGAAGGAGACAGCCACAAAUAUGCCAAAAUAAUUGCAAGUUGGUCAUAUCUGUGCAGUUACAAUUGCAGCUACGAUGGUGCGCAUAGUUUGGGGAAAGUCUACUAUUGAUUGGUAUCAAGUUCAGGAUUUGUUUCGUUCUCGGGCGUGGAUUCACUCGAUGCAGAUUUGUGGUUUCAUCAAUUUGUUUCAUUGAUAUCGAGAACUCGCAAACAUCGCCGGCACGAAUUAAUUGCGACGCGUGUCCAAUGGAAGGUUCUGCACACACAAGUCCAACCACGCUCAAUCUCCACCGUAGAUAAUAGUGUGGCCAAUUGCCGAUAUUCUGCCCUUUUAAGAGCGCUUGUUUUCUUCCACUGUUUUCUUGGAGUUUGACAAUGUCUCGCCGAACACUAUCCGGACUGUUCCUGGACAAGAAUACCUGACACAUAGCGUAGAACAUCACGACUGAAUCCCCUUAAUGGAAGUCGAACACGUUUCUGAAGAUGUCGGAGUGGAGGGACACAAGUUAAGCCUAACUCCGAUAUAUCUGGAGCAAGAAAAUGGUGUUCCGUUGAACCGUUAAAAUAGAUCAGGGGGUUGUAAUUUCAUGCGAAAGGGAGAGAUACACUGCAACAACCCAGCCGAGUAUCAAUGUUGGUAAGUUGGC
Molecule: small RNA, 1293 nt
Filed under: Histoplasma capsulatum var. duboisii H88
Lineage: Eukaryota; Fungi; Ascomycota; Eurotiomycetes; Onygenales; Ajellomycetaceae
Description: Histoplasma capsulatum H88 hypothetical RNA
Source: RNAcentral